Molecule: transfer RNA, 74 nt
Filed under: Bacillota bacterium
Lineage: Bacteria; Bacillati; Bacillota
Also listed under: 4 other names
Description: Firmicutes bacterium (gut metagenome) tRNA-Gln
Rfam family: tRNA
About the family: Transfer RNA (tRNA) molecules are approximately 80 nucleotides in length. Their secondary structure includes four short double-helical elements and three loops (D, anti-codon, and T loops).
Source: RNAcentral
UGCGGAAUAGUGUAACGGUAGCACCUACGACUCUGACUCGUAUUGUUAAGGUUCGAAUCCUUAUUCCGCAGCCA